This 301-nucleotide ribosomal RNA is filed under the name uncultured bacterium. RNAcentral's name for it is "partial 16S ribosomal RNA". It matches the Rfam family "Bacterial small subunit ribosomal RNA", at positions 509 to 809 of the family's 1533-position model. The record is from RNAcentral.
CAGCAGCCGCGGUAAUACGUAGGGCGCAAGCGUUGUCCGGAAUUAUUGGGCGUAAAGAGCUCGUAGGCGGUCUGUCGCGUCUGGUGUGAAAUCCCGAGGCUCAACCUCGGGCUUGCAUCGGGUACGGGCAGACUAGAGUGCGGUAGGGGAGACUGGAAUUCCUGGUGUAGCGGUGGAAUGCGCAGAUAUCAGGAGGAACACCGAUGGCGAAGGCAGGUCUCUGGGCCGCAACUGACGCUGAGGAGCGAAAGCAUGGGGAGCGAACAGGAUUAGAUACCCCUGUAGUCCCUGUCUCUUAUAU